RNAcentral lists this ribosomal RNA (497 nucleotides) under uncultured bacterium. RNAcentral describes it as "partial 16S ribosomal RNA". It matches the Rfam family "Bacterial small subunit ribosomal RNA", at positions 28 to 507 of the family's 1533-position model. The record is from RNAcentral.
GACGAACGCUGGCGGCGUGCCUAAUACAUGCAAGUUGAGCGCUGAAGGUUGGUACUUGUACCAACUGGAUGAGCAGCGAACGGGUGAGUAACGCGUGGGGAAUCUGCCUUUGAGCGGGGGACAACAUUUGGAAACGAAUGCUAAUACCGCAUAAAAACUUUAAACACAAGUUUUAAGUUUGAAAGAUGCAAUUGCAUCACUCAAAGAUGAUCCCGCGUUGUAUUAGCUAGUUGGUGAGGUAAAGGCUCACCAAGGCGAUGAUACAUAGCCGACCUGAGAGGGUGAUCGGCCACAUUGGGACUGAGACACGGCCCAAACUCCUACGGGAGGCAGCAGUAGGGAAUCUUCGGCAAUGGACGAAAGUCUGACCGAGCAACGCCGCGUGAGUGAAGAAGGUUUUCGGAUCGUAAAACUCUGUUGGUAGAGAAGAACGCUGGUGAGAGUGGAAAGCUCAUCAAGUGACGGUAACUACCCAGAAAGGGACGGCUAACUACGUG